GAUGAAGAACGCAGCGAAAUGCGAUAAGUAAUGUGAAUUGCAGAAUUCAGUGAAUCAUGGAAUCUUUGAACGCACAUUGCGCCCGCCAGUAUUCUGGCGGGCAUGCCUGUUCGAGCGUCAUUUCAACCAUCAAGCCCCCGGCUUGUGUUGGGGACCUGCGGCUGCCGCAGGCCCUGAAAACCAGUGGCGGGCUCGCUAGUCACUCCGAGCGUAGUAAUACAUCUCGCUCAGGGCGUGCUGCGGGUUCCGGCCGUUAAAAAGCCUUAUUUACCCAAGGUUGACCUCGGAUCAGGUAGGAAGACCCGCUGAACUUAAGCAUAUCAAUAAGCGGAGGA
Molecule: unclassified non-coding RNA, 335 nt
Filed under: soil metagenome
Description: partial contains 5.8S ribosomal RNA, internal transcribed spacer 2, and large subunit ribosomal RNA
Rfam family: 5.8S ribosomal RNA (bases 1-120)
Source: RNAcentral